RNAcentral lists this ribosomal RNA (301 nucleotides) under uncultured bacterium. RNAcentral's name for it is "partial 16S ribosomal RNA". It matches the Rfam family "Bacterial small subunit ribosomal RNA", at positions 509 to 807 of the family's 1533-position model. The record is from RNAcentral.
CAGUAGCCGCGGUAAUACGAAGGGGGCUAGCGUUGCUCGGAAUGACUGGGCGUAAAGGGUGCGUAGGCGGGUCUUUAAGUCAGGGGUGAAAUCCUGGAGCUCAACUCCAGAACUGCCUUUGAUACUGAAGAUCUUGAGUUCGGGAGAGGUGAGUGGAACUGCGAGUGUAGAGGUGAAAUUCGUAGAUAUUCGCAAGAACACCAGUGGCGAAGGCGGCUCACUGGCCCGAUACUGACGCUGAGGCACGAAAGCGUGGGGAGCAAGCAGGAUUAGAGACCCCCGUAGUCCCUGUCUCUUAUAC